Molecule: ribosomal RNA, 254 nt
Filed under: uncultured bacterium
Lineage: Bacteria
Description: partial 16S ribosomal RNA
Rfam family: Bacterial small subunit ribosomal RNA
Source: RNAcentral
UACGGGGGGUGCGAGCGUUGUCCGGAAUCACUGGGCGUAAAGGGCGCGUAGGUGGCUUGGCAAGCGCGUGGUGAAAGCCUGGGGCUCAACCCCGGGUCUGCCAUGCGAACUGCUAUGGCUUGAGCACUGUAGAGGCAGGUAGAAUUCCGGGUGUAGCGGUGGAAUGCGUAGAGAUCCGGAAGAAUACCGGUGGCGAAGGCGACCUGCUGGGCAGUGGCUGACACUGAGGCGCGACAGCGUGGGGAGCAAACAGG